Molecule: signal recognition particle RNA, 148 nt
Filed under: Pan paniscus (pygmy chimpanzee)
Lineage: Eukaryota; Metazoa; Chordata; Mammalia; Primates; Hominidae
Also listed under: 1 other name
Description: Metazoan signal recognition particle RNA
Rfam family: Metazoan signal recognition particle RNA
About the family: The signal recognition particle (SRP) is a universally conserved ribonucleoprotein. It is involved in the co-translational targeting of proteins to membranes.
Source: Rfam by way of RNAcentral
GCCGGGCAUGGUGGCGCAUGCCUGUAAUCCCAGCUCCUCAGGAGGCUGAGGCGGGAGAAUCGCUUGAACCCAGGAGGCAGAAGUUGCAGUGAGCCGAGAUCGCGUCACUGCACUUCAGCCUGGGCGACAGAGCAAGACUCUGUCUCAA